This 878-nucleotide ribosomal RNA is filed under the name uncultured bacterium. RNAcentral describes it as "bacterial SSU rRNA". It matches the Rfam family "Bacterial small subunit ribosomal RNA", at positions 28 to 904 of the family's 1533-position model. The record is from RNAcentral.
GAUGAACGCUAGCGACAGGCUUAACACAUGCAAGUCGAGGGGCAGCAUAAAAGUAGCAAUACUUUGGUGGCGACCGGCGCACGGGUGAGUAACGCGUAUGCAACCUACCUAUCAGAGGGGAAUAACCCGGCGAAAGUCGGACUAAUACCGCAUAAAACAGGGGCACCGCAUGGUGAUAUUUGUUAAAGAAAUUCGCUGAUAGAUGGGCAUGCGUUCCAUUAGGUAGUUGGUGAGGUAACGGCUCACCAAGCCGUCGAUGGAUAGGGGAACUGAGAGGUUGGUCCCCCACACUGGUACUGAGACACGGACCAGACUCCUACGGGAGGCAGCAGUGAGGAAUAUUGGUCAAUGGGCGGGAGCCUGAACCAGCCAAGUCGCGUGAAGGAAGAAGGAUCUAUGGUUCGUAAACUUCUUUUGCAGGGGAAUAAAGUGCAGGACGUGUCCUGUUUUGUAUGUACCCUGAGAAUAAGGAUCGGCUAACUCCGUGCCAGCAGCCGCGGUAAUACGGAGGAUCCGAGCGUUAUCCGGAUUUAUUGGGUUUAAAGGGUGCGUAGGUGGUUUGAUAAGUCAGCGGUGAAAGUUUGCAGCUUAACUGUAAAAAUGCCGUUGAAACUGUCGGACUUGAGUGUAAAUGAGGUAGGCGGAAUGCGUGGUGUAGCGGUGAAAUGCAUAGAUAUCACGCAGAACUCCGAUUGCGAAGGCAGCUUACUAAGCUACAACUGACACUGAAGCACGAAAGCGUGGGGAUCAAACAGGAUUAGAUACCCUGGUAGUCCACGCAGUAACGAUGAUUACUAGCUGUUUGCGAUACACAGUAAGCGGCACAGCGAAGCGUUAAGUAAUCCACCUGGGGAGUACGCCGGCACGGUGAAACUCAA